GCAGCGGCCAUGGUUGCGGUCGCGAGGAAGACUCUAGAGAGAGAGAGUUAAUGUGUGCUUUUGUGGGUGGUUUUUAGAGAUAAGUGAGAGAGAGAGACUCACCUACUACCAUAUUUUCUUACUAUUCAGCUGAGUUUGAGAUAGAAAUAGGUGGGAUGCUACCUCGAUUGCUGGAGAUCUGAAGCUCAAUCUCUGCCGCUAAAACUGUGGGGCCCAAAAGAAGUGGUGGAUUGACCAGAAAUGGAUGGUGAAGAUUGAAUUAUUGAUGAUAAGGCCACGUGUAAGGUGAGAUUUUUUAAAAAGAAAAAAUCGCAGGUUAAAUGAAUGGAUGUAUUUUUGUGUAUCGCCCAAAGUAAAUAAAUAAAUGAAAGCGAAAAUGGUUUGAUUA
Long non-coding RNA from Populus nigra (black poplar), 388 nucleotides. RefSeq lists it as uncharacterized. NCBI's taxonomy places the organism in Eukaryota, Viridiplantae, Streptophyta, Magnoliopsida, Malpighiales, Salicaceae. The transcript has 2 exons. The record is from RefSeq and is a predicted model, not a curated record.